RNAcentral lists this ribosomal RNA (400 nucleotides) under uncultured bacterium. RNAcentral's name for it is "bacterial SSU rRNA". It matches the Rfam family "Bacterial small subunit ribosomal RNA", at positions 355 to 770 of the family's 1533-position model. The record is from RNAcentral.
UGGGGAAUUUUCCGCAAUGGGCGAAAGCCUGACGGAGCAAUACCGCGUGAGGGAGGAAGGCUCUUGGGUUGUAAACCUCUUUUCUCAGGGAAUAAGUUCUGAAGGUACCUGAGGAAUAAGCAUCGGCUAACUCCGUGCCAGCAGCCGCGGUAAUACGGAGGAUGCAAGCGUUAUCCGGAAUGAUUGGGCGUAAAGCGUCCGCAGGUGGCUUUGUAAGUCUGUUGUUAAAGCGUCUAGCUUAACUAGAUACAGGCGAUGGAAACUACAAAGCUAGAGUGCGUUAGGGGUAGAGGGAAUUCCUGGUGUAGCGGUGAAAUGCGUAGAGAUCAGGAAGAACACCGGUGGCGAAGGCGCUCUACUAUGCCGCAACUGACACUGAGGGACGAAAGCUAGGGGAGCG